AUACGUGUAGUCUUUUCCUUGUAGGCAUAGCCACAUAAGGACACGUGUGAAAGAUUUUCCCAUUCACUUGUAGGCGCAGGGAAGUCGAGCAUAAGCAGAAGGUAUGCGUGUUACAAUGGAAGCAAGAAAAGAGAGAAACGAGCAGAAGGAAAAAGAAGAGCAGCAAGAAUUGCAGAAGGUGCGGAGGAAGAAUCAAAGCAAAACCCGCUCAUCUAUUGAUCCAGUUGCCAAGGAUUUGAUCCGCGAAUCCAUCACCGGCGCUGCCAAUACCUCCUCUACCACCAUCGGCGGAGGUGGCCAAGAAAAUAAGGGUCAUAGUGUUGAAGUUGUUGAGGAUGUUCUUGUUUUUUCUAGAUCUGUUCCCAAGAUGGACUCUUCUCUUGAGUGAGAUUUUCUCUAAAUAAAUUAUAUCUGUAUUCAUAUUCUCUCCACUUAUUCUGCAGCUUUAUUCAUAUGUGAUUUGAAUCUUGGAUUUUCUUUUGUUUGUUGGAAGGAAAAUAUAAAGAAAAUAAAUAAAGACAAGAUCGAAUUAGAAUAGCUAACGGAAAAAAAAUAUUUUCUUUGGUCUUUCCUUUGGCAAGGGAUGGUGCACAUAUAGGAGGAAAUAUUAAAAGAUUAUAAGAAAAGUCAAAGAUUAAAAAAAA
RNAcentral lists this long non-coding RNA (644 nucleotides) under Manihot esculenta (cassava). RNAcentral describes it as "long non-coding RNA (MESC_LNC008699)". Lineage: Eukaryota; Viridiplantae; Streptophyta; Magnoliopsida; Malpighiales; Euphorbiaceae. The record is from RNAcentral.